CAGAGGGUGCAAGCGUUGUUCGGAUUUACUGGGCGUAAAGCGUACGCAGACGGCUUGGUGGGUCGGAUGUGAAACGCCCCGGGCUCAACCCGGGAAUUGCAUCCGAAACCACCUCGCUCGAGUGUGGGAGAGGGAAGCGGAAUUCCUGGUGUAGAGGUGAAAUUCGUAGAUAUCAGGAGGAACACCGGCGGCGAAGGCGGCUUCCUGGCCCAUUACUGACGUUCAGGUACGAAAGCGUGGGGAGCAAACAGGAUUAGAUACCCUGGUAGUCCACGCCGUAAACGAUGUGUGCUGGAUGUCGGGGGUAUUCACCCCCUCGGUAUCGAAGCCAACGCGAUAAGCACACCGCCUGGGGAGUACGGCCGCAAGGUUG
This 373-nucleotide ribosomal RNA is filed under the name uncultured organism. RNAcentral's name for it is "bacterial SSU rRNA". It matches the Rfam family "Bacterial small subunit ribosomal RNA", at positions 526 to 896 of the family's 1533-position model. The record is from RNAcentral.